GUGGGGAAUAUUGGACAAUGGGCGAAAGCCUGAUCCAGCCAUGCCGCGUGUGUGAAGAAGGUCUUCGGAUUGUAAAGCACUUUAAGUUGGGAGGAAGGGCAGUAAGUUAAUACCUUGCUGUUUUGACGUUACCGACAGAAUAAGCACCGGCUAACUUCGUGCCAGCAGCCGCGGUAAUACGAAGGGUGCAAGCGUUAAUCGGAAUUACUGGUCGUAAAGCGCGCGUAGGUGGUUUUGUAAGUUGGAGGUGAAAUCCCCGGGCUCAACCUGGGAACUGCCUCCAAAACUGCAUGACUAGAGUACGGUAGAGGGUAGUGGAAUUUCCUGUGUAGCGGUGAAAUGCGUAGAUAUAGGAAGGAACACCAGUGGCGAAGGCGACUACCUGGACUGAUACUGACACUGAGGUGCGAAAGCGUGGGGAGCAAAAGGGAUUAGAUACCCGGGUAGUCC
This 450-nucleotide ribosomal RNA is filed under the name uncultured bacterium. Its description in RNAcentral is "partial 16S ribosomal RNA". It matches the Rfam family "Bacterial small subunit ribosomal RNA", at positions 354 to 796 of the family's 1533-position model. The record is from RNAcentral.